CUUCCACCUCUUCCUCUUCUACCAGUUCUUCUUCUUUCUCUUCUUCUCCUUCUUAGAUAGAAUUAUCCUUUAAAACAAAAUUAGUUGGGUUUACCUCCUCAUGUUGGCCAUCAUGUACGAAAAUUUUUAGAGCAUCCAACUCGACAUCUAUUGAAGAUCAAUGAAACUCUAAUAUUUCAUCCUCUUGAAAGUAUUCUGGUAAUUGGGGCUCUUCUUCUUCUUCGAACACGUAAUGAAUGGC
Molecule: long non-coding RNA, 241 nt
Filed under: Elaeis guineensis (African oil palm)
Lineage: Eukaryota; Viridiplantae; Streptophyta; Magnoliopsida; Arecales; Arecaceae
Description: long non-coding RNA (EGUI_LNC032199)
Source: RNAcentral